UAGCACGAAAUAAUUUACUAGUAAAGAUAUUCAAUUUAAAUAGUUUUAAUAAUCAUUAAAUUCCUACAACCAAUUUUUCAUGCAUAUCCAUUAUUAGCAGCAAGCGGCAAUAAAGUCUACUAAUUUACAUCCUCAAACAGCUAACACAAUUUUGUUGUGUGUGUGUGUGAGAGGAUAAGAAACUGCUUCACAUGAACGGCAUGAAGGAUAUGCCAACACUAUCAUUGCCUGCCACGGGAGUAUCAUCGGGUGAAGGCACAUCAAUACGCCCUCACCCGAUGAUGCACAUAACCUUCUUCUGGGCCAAAAACAGGGAAAUUUUGUUCCCCGGUUGGCCCGGGUCAAGUACUGGUCGCAAUCAUGACUCACAGGAAGUCAUCAGAUCGUUGAGCAAUGAAACAUAGAAGACAGGAUUUCAUCGAGACGUCCUACAUUGCCAAACCUGAUGUUCUAAGGCAAUCACUAGUCCAGAAACUCAAUGUGCAUCAACAUCAUCCUUAAAUCCAAAAAUUUAAAUGCUUCAAGGACAUUGACUAGAAUGUGAAAGUCACAUAGAAGAUUUGGUCAAAAGAAGCAUACAAGCUCUUCAUGUAACCUUGAGGUGAGGUUGUUACCAAACCCAAGUAACAACUUAACUGAUGAUUGUAAUUACCACAACACUGAUGACUAGAUGUCGAUGUAGGUGUUGAUGGAUAUAGAAUAUGAAGAUGUAUUUGAAGAAGAAUUACUAUCAAA
Long non-coding RNA from Helianthus annuus (common sunflower), 735 nucleotides. RefSeq lists it as uncharacterized. The record is from RefSeq and is a predicted model, not a curated record. Lineage: Eukaryota; Viridiplantae; Streptophyta; Magnoliopsida; Asterales; Asteraceae. The transcript is spliced from 2 exons.